GUAGGGAAUAUUGCGCAAUGGGGGAAACCCUGACGCAGCAACGCCGCGUGGGUGAAGAAGGCCUUCGGGUUGUAAAGCCCUGACAGGAGGGACGAAAUGCGGUCCGGAACAAUACCCGGUCCGUUUGACGGUACCUCCAGAGGAAGCACCGGCCAACUCCGUGCCAGCAGCCGCGGUAAUACGGAGGGUGCAAGCGUUGUUCGGAUUCACUGGGCGUAAAGCGCGUGUAGGCGGUCCGUUAGGUCAGAUGUGAAAUCCCCCGGCUCAACCGGGGAAGUGCAUUUGAAACCGGCGGGCUUGAGUACGGGAGAGGGAAGCGGAAUUCCUAGUGUAGAGGUGAAAUUCGUAGAUAUUAGGAGGAACACCUGUGGCGAAGGCGGCUUCCUGGACCGAUACUGACGCUGAGACGCGAAAGCGUGGGGAGCAAACAGGAUUAGAUACCCUGGUAGUCC
Molecule: ribosomal RNA, 452 nt
Filed under: uncultured bacterium
Lineage: Bacteria
Description: bacterial SSU rRNA
Rfam family: Bacterial small subunit ribosomal RNA
Source: RNAcentral